This 1053-nucleotide ribosomal RNA is filed under the name Neisseria gonorrhoeae. RNAcentral's name for it is "bacterial SSU rRNA". It matches the Rfam family "Bacterial small subunit ribosomal RNA", at positions 479 to 1533 of the family's 1533-position model. Lineage: Bacteria; Pseudomonadati; Pseudomonadota; Betaproteobacteria; Neisseriales; Neisseriaceae. The record is from RNAcentral.
CUGAAGAAUAAGCACCGGCUAACUACGUGCCAGCAGCCGCGGUAAUACGUAGGGUGCGAGCGUUAAUCGGAAUUACUGGGCGUAAAGCGGGCGCAGACGGUUACUUAAGCAGGAUGUGAAAUCCCCGGGCUCAACCCGGGAACUGCGUUCUGAACUGGGUGACUCGAGUGUGUCAGAGGGAGGUGGAAUUCCACGUGUAGCAGUGAAAUGCGUAGAGAUGUGGAGGAAUACCGAUGGCGAAGGCAGCCUCCUGGGAUAACACUGACGUUCAUGUCCGAAAGCGUGGGUAGCAAACAGGAUUAGAUACCCUGGUAGUCCACGCCCUAAACGAUGUCAAUUAGCUGUUGGGCAACUUGAUUGCUUGGUAGCGUAGCUAACGCGUGAAAUUGACCGCCUGGGGAGUACGGUCGCAAGAUUAAAACUCAAAGGAAUUGACGGGGACCCGCACAAGCGGUGGAUGAUGUGGAUUAAUUCGAUGCAACGCGAAGAACCUUACCUGGUUUUGACAUGUGCGGAAUCCUCCGGAGACGGAGGAGUGCCUUCGGGAGCCGUAACACAGGUGCUGCAUGGCUGUCGUCAGCUCGUGUCGUGAGAUGUUGGGUUAAGUCCCGCAACGAGCGCAACCCUUGUCAUUAGUUGCCAUCAUUCGGUUGGGCACUCUAAUGAGACUGCCGGUGACAAGCCGGAGGAAGGUGGGGAUGACGUCAAGUCCUCAUGGCCCUUAUGACCAGGGCUUCACACGUCAUACAAUGGUCGGUACAGAGGGUAGCCAAGCCGCGAGGCGGAGCCAAUCUCACAAAACCGAUCGUAGUCCGGAUUGCACUCUGCAACUCGAGUGCAUGAAGUCGGAAUCGCUAGUAAUCGCAGGUCAGCAUACUGCGGUGAAUACGUUCCCGGGUCUUGUACACACCGCCCGUCACACCAUGGGAGUGGGGGAUACCAGAAGUAGGUAGGGUAACCGCAAGGAGCCCGCUUACCACGGUAUGCUUCAUGACUGGGGUGAAGUCGUAACAAGGUAGCCGUAGGGGAACCUGCGGCUGGAUCACCUCCUUU